GAUGAACGCUGACAGAAUGCUUAACACAUGCAAGUCGACUCGAGUCUUCGGACUUGGGUGGCGCACGGGUGAGUAACGCGUAAAGAACUUGCCUCUUAGACUGGGACAACAUCUGGAAACGGAUGCUAAUACCGGAUAUGAGCUCCUGCUGCAUGGUGGGGGUUGGAAAGUUUCGGCGGUUGGGGAUGGACUCGCGGCUUAUCAGCUUGUUGGUGGGGUAGUGGCUUACCAAGGCUUUGACGGGUAGCCGGCCUGAGAGGGUGACCGGCCACAUUGGGACUGAGAUACGGCCCAG
Molecule: ribosomal RNA, 295 nt
Filed under: uncultured bacterium
Lineage: Bacteria
Description: partial 16S ribosomal RNA
Rfam family: Bacterial small subunit ribosomal RNA
Source: RNAcentral